Long non-coding RNA from Mustela lutreola (European mink), 2733 nucleotides. RefSeq lists it as uncharacterized. The record is from RefSeq and is a predicted model, not a curated record. Lineage: Eukaryota; Metazoa; Chordata; Mammalia; Carnivora; Mustelidae. The transcript has 4 exons.
ACACUAGUCCUUUAUCUGAUAUGUCGUUUGCAAAUAUCUUCUCCCAUUCUGUCAGUUGUCUUUUGAUUUUGUUAACUGUUUCCUUUGCUGUGCAAAAGCUUUUGAUCUUGAUGAAAUCCCAAUAGUUCAUUUUUGCCCUUGCUUCCCUUGCCUUUGGCGAUGUUCCUAGGAAGAUGUUGCUGCGGCUGAAGUCGAAGAGGUUGCUGCCUGUGUUCUCCUCAAGGAUUUUGAUGGAUUCCUUUCGCACAUUGAGGUCCUUCAUCCAUUUUGAGCCUAUUUUUGUGUGUGGUGUAAGGAAAUGGUCCAAUUUCAUUUUUCUGCAUGUGGCUGUCCAAUUUUCCCAACACCAUUUAUUGAAGAGGCUGUCUUUUUUCCACUGGACAUUCUUUCCUGCUUUGUUGAAGAUUAGUUGACCAUAGAGUUGAAGGUCUAUUUCUGGGCUCUCUAUUCUGUUCCAUUGAUCUAUGUGUCUGUUUUUGUGCCAGUAGCAUGCUGUCUUGAUGAUGACAGCUUUGUAAUAGAGCUGCAAGGUUGGUUCAACAUCCGCAAAUCAGUCAAUGUGAUACAACACAUCAAUAAAAGAAAGAACAAGAACCAUAUGAUACUCUCAAUAGAUGCUGAAAAAGCAUAUGACAAAGUACAGCAUCCCUUCCUGAUCAAAACUAUUCAAAGUGUAGGGAUAGAGGGUACAUACCUCAAUAUCAUCAAAGCCAUCUAUGAAAAACCCACCGCAAAUAUCAUUCUCAAUGGAGAAAAACUGAAAGCUUUUCCGCUAAGGUCAGAAACAUGGCAGGGAUGUCCGUUAUCACCACUGCUAUUCAACAUAGUACUAGAAGUCCUAGCCUCAGCAAUCAGACAACAAAAGGAAAUUAAAGGCAUCCAAAUCGGCAAAGAAGAAGUCAAAUUAUCACUCUUCGCAGAUGAUAUGAUACUAUAUGUGGAAAACCCAAAAGACUCCACUCCAAAACUGCUAGAACUUGUACAGGAAUUCAGUAAAGUGUCAGGAUAUAAAAUCAAUGCACAGAAAUCAGUUGCAUUUCUCUACACCAACAACAAGACAGAAGAAAGAGAAAUUAAGGAGUCAAUCCCAUUUACAAUUGCACCCCAAACCAUAAGAUACCUAGGAAUAAACCUAACCAAAGAGGCACAGAAUCUAUACUCAGAAAACUAUAAAGUACUCAUGAAAGAAAUUGAGGAAGACACAAAGAAAUGGAAAAAUGUUCCAUGCUCCUGGAUUGGAAGAAUAAAUAUUGUGAAAAUGUCUAUGCUACCUAAAGCAAUCUACACAUUUAAUGCAAUUCCUAUCAAAGUACCAUCCAUCUUUUUCAAAGAAAUGGAACAAAUAAUUCUAAAAUUUAUAUGGAACCAGAAAAGACCUCAAAUAGCCAAAGGGAUAUUGAAAAAGAAAGCCAAAGUUGGUGGCAUCACAAUUGCGAAUAAUGUUUUUUAACAGCGCGCUCGGGGCCUUGAGAGUUACUUAACCUCUUGAUUACUGUUGAAGAAAAUAAGGCACAGAGAAGCUAAGUAAUUUCCCAUCUUUCAAGAUCUCAAAACUGAGUUUGAUCCCAGGCUGCCAAUCACUGAGAAGAAUCAGAAGUCAUGAAUGCACCAGCCACUCCCAGACGGAAUCCGAAUGUAGUACUAGCCCAGAGAGAAGCAGGCUCUGCCUCACCACCCCUCCCCCAAAGGUAGUUAUGACCCGAUCUUCACAGGAGAGUUAUAGACCAGGUUGGAAUCAGGUGAAAGCCUCGAGGUGCUGAAGAAUGAGUCAAGACACCUUCAGAGGUGGAGUUCUCCAGAGACCCCCUCAGAGUCUGGAGAUGGCGCCCAAGACCUCUGGCACCUCCCAAGGGAGGAGAUACUCACUCACAGCAAGAGUGAAGAGCCGGCAAUCACCAGGAACCAAGCCCAGUCGAGACAGCAGGGAUUUGCCCACCUUAGGAAGGUGGGCUGACGCUUCUAAUUUAUGAGAUGGCUCCCCGGGGGGGACCCAAAAGGGAGGAAAAAAGUCAUUAACUACGGGUAUCGUAGUCACAUGGAUACACACGUGGGGUACCUUUCAGGUUAGGAUUUGUGUUUUAUGCCACUACCACUUGUUGCCAGUAGAGUUCCGACAGGAGAAAGACGUGUUCUAGUCUGAGGGCUGCCGGUCUAUAAAGAAGUCAAAGUGGCCAGAGGAUUUUUAGGUCAAGGUGAGUUUAUUGUCCAAAUAGCAUAACCUAAUUGCAUCCAAAACCAUUUGCAAAUCCAUCUUUAAGCUGGUCAGAAUAACAGGCCAUUAUUUUUUUUUAAUCGCUUAACACUGAACAGGCAGGACCUCUUCAAAGGCAGCUGACUAUACCAUGUCACCAUCAUAACCAAUAAAACAUUUUUUUCCAUACUUCCUAAAAACCUUUUGCUUAUACUGAUCAUGCUACUUUAGCACUUGCUAGCAUCCCGACCAAAUAAACACCCACACCUCUUAUAGAGUACAUUGUGAGAGAAUAACAUUGACUCGAUAUGGCAUCACACUCAUUUUAAAGCAAAAAAAAAAAAAAAUUAUAAUAAUAAUAAAAGAAGUCCAAGACGAGAAACUGUAACUGAGAGAGAAAGAGAUCUGAGGUACACGGUACAAGGGUAAUGAACAUAAUGGAAAAAAUCCAAUGGCCCAGUGAUUUGCUGGGGACUUAAGAGUUGGCCAACAGUAAGAAACAAAAACCAAUUAAAACAAAACAAAACAAACAAUUUUUUUUU